AAAAUCCUCUCUCAUUUCACGGGAUUCUCGAGAGGUUACGAGAAGUAGUAGUAGAAGGGAAAACAAAGAAGAAAGUGGGUUCCCGGCAAAACGAAAUCGGCAUCGUUCUCAUCAUCUCAUCAUCAUCUUAUCAUCUCAAAUUAACAAAAUAAC
This 153-nucleotide non-coding RNA is filed under the name Lotharella globosa. The record is from RNAcentral. Lineage: Eukaryota; Cercozoa; Chlorarachniophyceae.